UUUCAUCUUGUUGUUCUCACUGUUGCUAGCAUUGCACUCAAAUGAAGUUGAAGCAGCACUUCCUUAAAUUUACAUCUUGUAUGUUAAUACAUGCUAGAGGGUGAGUUUGGCACAACGGUAAGGUUGUUGCUUAGUGACAAUAAGAGCAUAAGUUCAAAUCCUAGGAAACAGUCUUUCCACUUGUGGUAGAGUAGAACUGUGUACAUCUACUUUCUCCAGACUCCGCU
Molecule: long non-coding RNA, 227 nt
Filed under: Lupinus angustifolius (narrow-leaved blue lupine)
Lineage: Eukaryota; Viridiplantae; Streptophyta; Magnoliopsida; Fabales; Fabaceae
Description: long non-coding RNA (LANG_LNC001571)
Source: RNAcentral